AAAAUAAGUAUAUAAGGUAGACCUGAUCACUCUCUUUUUUUGCAACAGUAUGAACAGUAGUUUUAUAUUUCAUAUACCAUUAGCAGUUCCAUCUCCAGUGAUGUGAAUUAACCUUUAGUGUGGAUCUGCCACAUUUGGUAAGUACUGACUUAACCACUGACCAGAAAGAUCACACUUAUUAAAUAGCUUUGUAGU
RNAcentral lists this long non-coding RNA (195 nucleotides) under Anas platyrhynchos platyrhynchos (common mallard). Its description in RNAcentral is "lncRNA (ENSAPLG00000017864.1)". Lineage: Eukaryota; Metazoa; Chordata; Aves; Anseriformes; Anatidae. The record is from RNAcentral.